Molecule: ribosomal RNA, 1183 nt
Filed under: Melonis pompilioides
Lineage: Eukaryota; Foraminifera; Rotaliida; Nonionidae
Description: SSU rRNA
Source: RNAcentral
CUCAAAGAAUUAAACCAUGCAAGUGGUUAUAUUAACCCGACAGUUUAAAUAAGUGUUAAAUGCUACAUUAAAUUUACAAAUCACAUUAUCACGCAUACAUUGAUUUUGUUUACAGUUUAACGAUUUCAGCGUGUAUCACACAUACAGUGAAUCACUGGAAUUUUACCCAUUCAGUAUCACUUACGCAACUGCAGACAGCUGCUUAAUACAGUCACACUUGUCUUGACUUGGCGUAAUAAAAAUUUUCAUUCGAACACCCGUUCACGCGGGGGAUGACAGUGAAUUUUUUUAUUUUGUUGCAUCACGCAUACAAAAUUUUUUGAUUUCUCUGUAUCGCUUAUUCUUAAGGACACGCGUUACACCGUGACAAUUUUCUUUAUGGAUAACUCAGGGAAAGUUUGGCUAAUACGUACGAGUACAUUACCACACACACACACACACACACACACACAUUCACAAUUCAAAAUUUUUUUGUAUUGCUGUGUAUCAACUACUACUCAGCACUCAGUGGUAAACUUUGGUUGCCUCGCGCAGCCAGUUUAAAGUUUAACUGCAACAUGAGAGACAUUGAGCACGCACGUAUCGUGCCUUCGGGCACUUUACAUCACGCUGAGCAGACUUUGCGAAGUUUACUUUGCGAAGCAUGUCAUACAAGCAUCUACAGCAUCAAGUCACAGGGUUGGCAAGUGUAUUUUUGAACCUUCAAAGCAGUCACGCAUACGGAAGAGUAGUUUCUGAUCCCAUAGAAGGAGCACCGUACAAUGAGAGACCGCUCUUAGUUCUAAGGAACGCAGCAGGCGCGUAAAUUGCCCAAUGCAAGUACCCUACAAUCAAAUUGUAUUUACAUGCGUUAACAAUUUACAACACAACAAGUUUUAAUGACAGACAUAUAACACUUUCAUUUUUACUGUUACGUACACAUACGUACACAUUACACACAAUAUAUCCUUGUUCGUUGUUAUUCAGCAUUUUAUAAUAUUAAUUUAUUAUUUUACUGAGGCAGUGACAAGCUGUAACGGUUGAGUAUAAAAAUGACGAGUGUCUGGCAUUGCCGCUCUUUCGGGAGCUUGGCAAGUUGCCGACGCUUUGUGUGCUCAAUUGGAAUGCGGUGAGUUUAAGCAACUCAGAACCUUUGGACGGUGCUAGUAAAAUUUCACUGUUCGGUAUCUGAAUUUCAAGUGAG